AUAAAAGCUUUGAAAGAGAGAAAAAUAUCUGUUAAGCGGAUACAGAGAGCUGAUGGUUGGUGGAAAUCAGUGAUGCGGAGAUAUUAUAUGAUCACUCUUGAGCUUCCGAUUCGAAAGUAUGACGAGUAGAUGAGGACGUAUGCCUGCGUUACAGGGCUAGGGUUCAAAGAAAUGGAAAUGAAUUUCUUUCGACUUGAAGAGAGGCGGCUUUAAAAACCGCAAAUAGGGUGGUACCGCGAAAGACCUUUCGUCCCUAUA
RNAcentral lists this non-coding RNA (258 nucleotides) under Dethiosulfatibacter aminovorans. RNAcentral's name for it is "T-box sequence". It matches the Rfam family "T-box leader". Rfam says of the family: Uncharged tRNA acts as the effector for transcription antitermination of genes in the T-box leader family. T-boxes are found upstream of many aminoacyl-tRNA synthetase genes and some amino acid biosynthetic genes usually in Gram-positive bacteria. The record is from RNAcentral. Lineage: Bacteria; Bacillati; Bacillota; Tissierellia.